Molecule: long non-coding RNA, 912 nt
Organism: Tupaia belangeri chinensis (Chinese tree shrew)
Lineage: Eukaryota; Metazoa; Chordata; Mammalia; Scandentia; Tupaiidae
Exons: 2
Source: RefSeq, a predicted model, not a curated record
GCGGGCGGCUGGUCGGCGCGUGCAGCCCGGGACAGGGAGAAGCUGGUCUGGGGACGUGUCCUCGUGGGGAGCUCCUCCCCGCGAGUCUCCGAGGUUAAGGAGUUCGCGCACCCUGGAAGCCCCAGCCUAAAACGACCUGUUGCUUUAAGCGGCGCGGUGGGGAGCCGCGGGACACUCCUGGUUCUGGUUUUGCAUUAGAAAGAGGGCGGCCGACCAGAUGUUGUGGCUUUUUUCACGAGCUCCGCCGAUUGCCACCCCGCCGCGAAGCGUGUUAAUUUCUGACGUGGGCGACACCACGCACUGAACCUGAAGUCCGUGGGGAAUACAGAGUUUAUAAAAUGACUUUAAAAGCGUCAGCUUCUGGAAAUGCAGAUAAUCGUCCACAGCAUGUUUCCUGUAGCGUGAUGAGUCUUUUUCCAUAAAAGAAACAGAUUUUUUUUUUUUUUUUACCCUUGCAAACUCCUGAUUGGGCCGCCCACGGACGCAGGUGAUCUUGCAGCGACUCAGAUUGUCGCAGUGGGAUUGAGCCAGCGCUCAGGACUGGAGGCAUCUCCUUUAAGUGUUAACUGAGGCCCAAGGGGGUCUUCCUGCCCUAAUGGACUUCUUAAAGGGACCCUGGGUGGAGCUUUAGUUGUUCCAAGUUAAAAAUUCAACCCCUAGGAAAGGGUUCCCUCGACCAAUGACAAGACAUCAGUUCAAAUAAAUGGACAUGGAAUUUUUCAACCAAAUGACUCAUUUUUUUAAUUAGGCUAAAGGUCAAUGACUCUUGGGUACUGUCCCAAGGCAUUUGAGGAUGUGGUGUCAUUCCUGGGGCUUAUCGAAGUGAUAGAGAGAUACCAGCUUCGAGGUCCUUAUUUUUGUAAGGCCUUUACUGAUUUGAACUACAAUCAAGCAACUUUUUUUUUUCUUCUU